RNAcentral lists this ribosomal RNA (510 nucleotides) under uncultured bacterium. RNAcentral describes it as "partial 16S ribosomal RNA". It matches the Rfam family "Bacterial small subunit ribosomal RNA", at positions 28 to 507 of the family's 1533-position model. The record is from RNAcentral.
GACGAACGCUGGCGGCGUGCUUAACACAUGUAAGUCGAACGAAGAGCGAUGGAAGCUUGCUUCUAUCAAUCUUAGUGGCGAACGGGUGAGUAACGCGUAAUCAACCUGCCCUUCAGAGGGGGACAACAGUUGGAAACGACUGCUAAUACCGCAUACGAUCUAAACUCGGCAUCGAGGAUAGAUGAAAGGUGGCCUCUACAUGUAAGCUAUCACUGAAGGAGGGGAUUGCGUCUGAUUAGCUAGUUGGAGGGGUAACGGCCCACCAAGGCGAUGAUCAGUAGCCGGUCUGAGAGGAUGAACGGCCACAUUGGGACUGAGACACGGCCCAGACUCCUACGGGAGGCAGCAGUGGGGAAUCUUCCGCAAUAGACGAAAGUCUGACGGAGCAACGCCGCGUGAGUGAUGACGGCCUUCGGGUUGUAAAGCUCUGUUAAUCGGGACGAAAGGCCUUCUUGCGAAUAGUGAGAAGGAUUGACGGUACCGGAAUAGAAAGCCACGGCUAACUACGUG